CGAGCCGCUCGUUUGGGAGAACGGGAGGCUCACUCGACGGAUCACCGCCUGGGAGGGCGGGGUUCCGCCGCUUCAGGGGAGUUGCUCGAUGGAGAAUGCCGUUCUUAUCGGCCUGUCGCGCCAGACCGCGUUGC
Molecule: regulatory RNA element, 134 nt
Organism: Rhodoplanes sp.
Lineage: Bacteria; Pseudomonadati; Pseudomonadota; Alphaproteobacteria; Hyphomicrobiales; Nitrobacteraceae
Rfam family: flg-Rhizobiales RNA
Source: Rfam